CUCAAACUCCAGCCAUAUGCUCAAACUACAGUGGCCAAUCGCCCUUGCCCGAAGCUAGCCUACAAAUUCUUUGGUCCGUUUACAGUGGAACAGCGCAUUGGAUCGAUGGCAUACAAAUUGGAUCUUCCUAUAGAGAGUCGCAUCCACAACGUAUUCCAUGUGUCCCAGUUGAAGCCUUUCACUCCAGAUUACACACCGGUCUUCACACAGCUGCCGCACACACCUGAUCUCACAGCUGCCCCAUUGCAACCUGAAGUGAUUCUGGACCGUCACAUGGUCAAGAAAGGUAACUCCUCUAUUGUGCAGGUCCGUGUGCAAUGGGCAUCGCUUUCGCCGGAAUCUGCCACUUGGAAACAUUAUACAGUGCUCCGUCAGUGCUAUCCCGACGCACCAUGUUGGGCGGAUGACGCUCGCACUCAAGGGGAGGCAAUUGUCACACCUACUCUUGUGUAG
This 453-nucleotide ribosomal RNA is filed under the name Triticum aestivum (bread wheat). RNAcentral's name for it is "partial small subunit ribosomal RNA". The record is from RNAcentral. Lineage: Eukaryota; Viridiplantae; Streptophyta; Magnoliopsida; Poales; Poaceae.